UACGGGGGGGCAAGCGUUGUUCGGAAUUCCUGGGCGUAAAGGGCUCGUAGGGGGCCAACUAAGUCAGACGUGAAAUCCCCAGGCUUAACCUGGGAACUGCGUCUGAUACUGGAUGGCUUGAAUUCGGGAGAGGGAUGCAGAAUUCCAGGUGUAGCGGUGAAAUGCGUAGAUAUCUGGAGGAAUACCGGUGGCGAAGGCGGCAUCCUGGACCGAGAUUGACACUGAUGAGCGAAAGCCAGGGGAGCAAACGGG
RNAcentral lists this ribosomal RNA (252 nucleotides) under uncultured bacterium. RNAcentral's name for it is "partial 16S ribosomal RNA". It matches the Rfam family "Bacterial small subunit ribosomal RNA", at positions 524 to 776 of the family's 1533-position model. The record is from RNAcentral.